Molecule: ribosomal RNA, 5541 nt
Filed under: Triticum aestivum (bread wheat)
Lineage: Eukaryota; Viridiplantae; Streptophyta; Magnoliopsida; Poales; Poaceae
Description: partial small subunit ribosomal RNA
Source: RNAcentral
AUGGACGACACCCUGGCCAACAUACGGAAGAAGCUGAAGCGGCUGAAGAAGGGCAAGGACGAGGAUGACGCCGUCGACGCCCCCGCGGUUCCCGACGGCGGCGAGGCCGUCGCCGUCGCCGUCGCCGCCGGGCCGGAAGAUCUGCAGGGCGGCGGAGACGUCGAGGACAUGGGCGAGGGCGUCGCCGACGAGGGCGGCGACCUGGAGGCCGCCGCGAAUGCGGUUCCUGGGGAGGAUGACGGCGUGAAAGGCCCCGGCGGCGAUCUAGGGUUGGGGGACUCCCUGUCGGUGCUCUUCAGGAAGCCUGGCCGCAAGCCUCGGCAGCAGGCCUCGAAGGAUGAGGAGGCAGAGGGCGUGGAGGCUGCCGAUUCGCAGGCAGAGGAGGCCCUCAAUGGCGGAUCUGGUGGCCUGGCUUCGGAUGAGACUGCCAAGGGCACCAAGAAGAGGCGGAGGCGGCGCACCAAGGCGGAGAUGGAGGAGAUGAGGGCUGCCGUCGCCGCAGAGAAUUAUGCCAAGGCAAUGGCAGGUGAUGGGUCUCCCAGGAGGUCAAAGGCGAAGCCAAAGGCUGCAUAUUCUGAUAGGCGCUCUAGGGCUGCCGCCCGUCGAGCCGUUGGAGAAUCGCCCGUUGGAGAAUUGCCUAUUGGAGAAUUGGCGGCACCCGGGCCUCCCCCUGAUUUGGAAAGGAAGCCCGAUGAGAAAGAAGAGGCUGUGGAUAAAGAAGAGGCUGCGGAUGAUGGUUUAUCGCUGGGAGAGACGCUUCUUCAAGACAUGGAAACCAGUAGAAUUGUGGAGGAUGGAUCUAGAAACUCUUCUGAUGGGGCAAGCCAUUGUGUCGAAGUUCCAGCAAGGGCUGAUAACUGCAUUGCCUUAAAUCCUUGUUCAGGAGGAGAACCUGCUGAAAAAGCAUCUCACAGUGCAGCAAAUGCAUCCGCUGAUGGUGUUUCUGAUGCACAGACAUGCUCCGAAACCUUAGCAGAGGAUAUAAAUGCUGAUGCAGGUUUUUCUCAAGAUAAGCCACCUGCACCAACCAUCAAAAGGAAACCUGGUCGAAAACCAAAAGAAGCGCCCAAGAAACCUGUUAGAAGGAAGGAGUUGCCUUCGGUUAGUGCUGAUGCUAAACCAGUUGAGAUAGCAGAAAGUGAUGCGUCGUCGAAGCAGCGGCGGCGCAAAAAUAAAUUUCUCUUGGCAAGGUCUACAACUGUGCAGUCUAAUUCCUCGCUGGACAAUAAAGCAGGUAGUACAGGCGACGUUAAAUAUGGCAAUAUCAAACCAAAUGCAGCUGUGCCAACAGAAGAAAGCUUAGAUCAGCCAGCUGCUUAUGGGGUUCGUGGGUCACGUGCCGCCAAGGAUUCACGUGCCUCUCAUAACAUGGCAGCAUCUGCUAAAGAAAUCGAUAUCACUGACGUGGCAGCACCAUCCAAUUUUGAGGACAUGGAGAAUACAUCAAAGGUGAAACGCCUAGCACGGAAUACUAGGAAACGUAAACAUGGUGACAUGGCAUACGAGGGAGAUGAUGAUUGGGAAACUCUGAUGCAUGAGCAGGGGCUGUUCUCAAACCCCUCAGCAGGUUUUGCAGAUCAAUCUGUCAAACCAAAAGAUAAAAUUAAAGCGUUGGAAGUUCUUGAGAACCGAGGUGUUGCUGCUGUAAGUGCUGGCCUAAUGGCGGAGGCUGUUUCUCCAAUGGAAAAGAUAAAAUUCAAGGAUGUCCUGAAGCGGAAGGGUGGCCUUAAGGACUACCUGGAGUGCAGGAACAUGAUCCUAAGUUUCUGGAACAAGGAUGUUAAACAUCUAUUGGAUCUUGCCGAUUGUGGUCUUUCUAAUGCUCCCAUGGAAGAUGAUUCACCACGUCAAACACUUAUACGUGACGUGUACUGUUUCUUAGAUCAGAAUGGUUACAUAAAUGCUGGAAUCGCAUCAGCCAAGGCGACAAAGGCUCAUGAAACUCUUUGUUCUGAGGUUGUGGAAGUAGCCAAGUUAAAUGAAUUACCUAAAAUGGAUACAGUCAUGGUUGAAGGUGACAUUGUUGCGGCAUCUCUCCAGAAUAAAGAUCAUGAUUAUGGUGCUUUGGGACCUUUGACAGAAGAAUCGAAGGAAAAUAAUGUCCCUGACGCUCACUGCGAUGCCCAAGAAUUGAUACCUCACUUACAGUCCAAAGAACAGGCAUUUGAAGAAAAGAAUCUAGAUGUAUCAACUGAAGGCGGAGAUGCAUUACUACCACCGAUCAAUAUUACUUCAGUUGGAAACACUGAAGGCCCCAGCCUUGAUAAACCAGAAGCAGCUGUUAUCAAACAUCCUAGAAACAACUGUGAGGUAAAUCAUAAAGUUGAAUCUGGAGGGCAUGGCAAAAAGAUAAUCAUUGUGGGAGCUGGUCCGGCCGGUUUAACUGCAGCACGCCAUUUGCAGCGUCAAGGUUUUGCUGUCACUGUUCUUGAAGCGCGUGAUAGGAUUGGUGGUCGUGUUUAUACAGAUCGUACAUCGCUUUCAGUUCCUGUGGAUUUGGGUGCUAGCAUUAUUACAGGUGUGGAAGCUGAUAUAGCAACUGAACGAAGGGCUGAUCCAUCCUCUUUGAUUUGUUCUCAGCUUGGUCUUGAACUGACUGUACUGAAAAGUGCUUGCCCUCUCUAUGAUGUAGUAACUGGCAACAAGGUUCCCGAUGAAUUGGAUGAUGAGUUGGAAUCUGAAUACAACGGCCUUCUUGAUGAAAUGGAACAACUUUUUGAACAAAAUGGUGAAAGUGCACUGGGUUUAUCCCUUGAGGAUGGGUUGGAAUACACUCUUAGGAAGAAACGUGCAGCCCAUGCUAUUUCUUCUGUGGGACACGAUGAUCAGUUAAUAAGUAUGAACAGUAGAGGAGGUGCAGACAUUUCCAAAAAUGCUUCAACAGAAAAGGAGAUGGCUCAUUGUGGGGAGGAUGGUAAGAUAGAUGUUCUCAGCCCUCUUGAAAGAAGAGUUAUGAACUGGCACUUUGCACAUUUAGAGUAUGGUUGUGCUGCAAUGCUCAAAUCUGUCUCUCUUCCAUACUGGAACCAAGAUGAUGUGUAUGGAGGGUUUGGAGGACCUCAUUGCAUGAUUAAAGGUGGUUAUGGCGCUGUUCUUCAGAGCCUUGCAGAAGGACUUGAUGUUCAGUUAAAUCAUGUUGUAACUGAAGUAACGUACAGGUCUGAUGAGUCAGAUGCUAGUGGCAUUAGUGGGAAAACUGUUAAAGUUUCCACUUCGAAUGGAGCUGAAUUUGAGGGAGAUUCUGUGUUGAUCACUGUUCCUCUUGGAUGCUUGAAAGCACACACAAUCAAAUUUUCUCCUUCCUUGCCGGACUGGAAAACAUCUUCCAUUGACAGGCUUGGAUUUGGUGUUCUAAAUAAAAUAGUAUUGGAGUUUUCUGAGGUCUUUUGGGAUGAAAAUGUGGAUUAUUUUGGUGCAACUGCGGAACAAACAGAUUUAAGGGGACAAUGCUUUAUGUUUUGGAAUCUCAAGAAGACAGUCGGCGCACCAGUUAUAAUAGCUCUACUUGUUGGGAAGGCUGCUAUAGAUGGACAGGGUAUCAGUUCUGAUGCUCAUGUUAGCCAUGCUAUGGUGGUUCUCCGCAAGCUCUUUACGGAUGCUGCUGUACCAGAUCCAGUGGCGUCAGUUGUCACAAACUGGGGCCUUGAUCCUUUUAGUAGAGGUGCUUACUCUUAUGUUGCAGUAGGAGCAUCAGGGCAAGAUUAUGACAUCAUAGGACGGCCAGUUGCAAACUGUUUAUUUUUUGCUGGGGAAGCAACAUGCAAAGAGCACCCAGAUACUGUUGGUGGUGCAAUUUUAAGUGGUCUUCGAGAAGCAGUUCGGAUUAUUGACUUGGUACACAGUGGUAAGGAUUAUGUGGCUGAGGUGGAAGCUCUACAAACAUACCAAGUGCAGUCAGAUAGGGAAAGAAAUGAAGUCAGAGACAUGUCAAAUAGACUUGAAGCACGUGAACUGUCAACUGCUCUAUGCAAAAACUCAUCUGAUGCAUCAUAUGCAGUAGCUAGCAAGGAAUCUGUACUGCAAGAAAUGUUUUUCAGUGCGAACACUACACCAGGGCGCCUACAUUUGGCCAAGGAGCUACUGAAACUCCUUCCAGAUGCUCUUAAAUCAUUCGCUGGCUCUAAAGAAGGGUUAACUAAACUGAACUCUUGGAUACUUGAUUCACUGGGAAAAAAUGCAACUCAACUGUUGCGGCAUUGUGUACGCUUGCUUUUGCUUGUUUCGACCGAUCUGGUAGCUGUUCGCUUGUCUGGAAUUGGGAGGACUGUAAAGGAAAAGGUCUGUGUGCAUACUAGUCGAGAUAUUCGUGCCAUAGCUCGCCAGUUGGUCAGUAUGUGGAUAGAAGUUUUCCGUAAAGAAAAGGCUAGCAACGGUGCUCUCAAAAUGCUGCGCCGAUUGCCAUCAGUUGAAUCGAGCAAGACAAAGAGCAAGGAUCUACAUUCAGGAAUGCGUACUUCGCAUGUGACAAAUGAAGCAGGUGUACAGCGUGUAAGAUCUGCUGGGAGCCAUUCACCUCACAGAACUGGCAAGAAGCCUGACAAGGUUGUGAAAUUAUCUACUAUAAUGGCUACAAAGUCUGAUGGCAGCUCGCUUCGUUCCCAGAAGCAACACCAUGAUCCAGAACCCAAAACGGAUCAAGGCAUGGUUAUGUCUGAGGAAGAAGCUGCUGUAUUUGCUGCUGCGGAGGCUGCUCGAGUUGCUGCCGUAGCAGCUGCACAGGCAUAUGCAUCCGCAGAGGCAGUGAUAAGUAAGCCUCGGGAACUCCCAAAGAUCCCAUCAUUUGGAGAUUUUGCAAGGCGUGAUCACCAUUUGGACGAAUCUGAUACAAGAAAGAAAAUGACAAGUGACAAGCAUGGGAGACUUGAAUGCAUAUCAGAGAUUGAUUCCAGGAAUGGCAAAACUAAGAACUCAUCAGCUGAGCACGCCAAUUGUCCUGAUGUUGACAGCUCGAAAAUGACUGUUGAUAACUGUACCCAGAGGAGCUAUUCAAACGAGAAAGCCUGCCUAAUUAAUAUUAAGGACAAUUCUGCAGAGAGUGGAGCUGUAGAAAGUCGGUUUACUAGGGCAUGGGUUGAUACUGAUGCAGUCUCCAUUGAUGGUGUCAAACAUCCUCUAGCCAUUGAGAGGUGGCAAGCACAAGCAAUGGAAGCAGAUAAAGAAUUCUACAGUCGGAUACACAUACCCAUGGAAGAAGAUUCAGGUAGCCAAAAGCAGGCAUGCAAAAGUUCUGCCUCGCAGGUUGCAGAAAGCAAACCUGCAUCAGAAGGACAAUCCCGAGGUGUAGAACAUAUAAAACAGGGGCUUAUAGCUUUCAUUAGCACACUACUGAUGCCACUGUACAAAAGUAAAAAGAUCGACAGGGAGGCAUACAAGACAAUGAUGCGGAAAGCUGUCACAAAGAUCAUUGAUGCAUGCACCGAAGGAGAGAAGCUGAUGACUGCCAAUGAAUUUCUUGAUUUUAGAAGGAAAACUAAGAUUCAAACAUUUGUGGAUAAGCUGGUCGAGAGGCAUUGGCAUGUGGCUCCAGCCCCCAAAUCAUAG